Molecule: long non-coding RNA, 1782 nt
Filed under: Homo sapiens (human)
Lineage: Eukaryota; Metazoa; Chordata; Mammalia; Primates; Hominidae
Description: HSALNT0112444
Source: RNAcentral
AAAAAGCUGAGAAAUAUGUUCCAAAAAAAGAAACAAGAUAAAUCUUCAGAAACAGAUUCUAAUCAAACAGAGACAUAAUUUAUCUGACAAAGAAUUCAAAUAACCCUCAUAAAGAGUCUCACUGAGAUCAGGAGAACAAUAUAUUAACAAAGUAAGAAUAUUGAUAAAGAGAAAUAUUAAAAAGUACCAAACAGAAAAUAUGGAGCUAAAGAACACAAUAACUAAACUAAAUAUUUCACUACAGGAGUUCAACAGCAAACUAGAUCAAGCAGAAGAAGGAUGGGCAAACUCAAAGACAGGUCACAAAAAAAUUAUUUAGUCAGAGGGACAAAAAGAUUCAAAAGAGUAAAGAAAGCAUAAGGGACUUAUGGGGCACCAUCCAGCAGGUCACUACAUGCAUUUUGGGAGUCCCAUACGGAGAAUAAAAUCAGCAGCAGAAAAUUUAUUCAAAGAAAUAAUGGCUGAAAACUUCCUAAAUCUGUGAAGGAGAUGAAAUACAGAUUCCAGAAACUCAAAUUUCCUAAAAUAAGAUAAACCCAAAGAAAUAUACACUAAGGGAAAUUAUAAUCAAAUUGUUAAAAGUCAAAGACAGGGAGUAUUUUGAAGGCAGCAGAGGAAAAGCAACUUAUGACAUACAGUGUAACCCUCAGAAAACUAUUAGAGGAUUUUUUAAGUGCAAUGAUAUAUUCAAAGUGCUGAAAGACAAAAAUUGCCAAUCAAGAAUACUAUACCUAAAACAACAACAAAAAUCCUAAACCUGGCAAAACUAUCCUUCAAAAAAUUAAAGAGAGAUAGGAAUUUUCUAGACAAACAAAAGCUGAGGAAGUUCAUCACAACUAGACCUGCUUUACCAGAAAUGCAAAAGAGUGUUCUUCAAUGGGAAAUAAAACAGCCCUAAAUAGCAGUACAGUAGCCUAAGAAAGUAUAAAGCUCAAUGGUAAAGGCAAUAUAUAAAUAAUAAAAAUACUAUAUUACUGUGAUUGUGAUGGUAAGUCACUUUAAAUUUUAUCAUAAAAAUUAAAAGUAUUAAUUAUAACUGAAAAUACGUUAAUGGAUACAAGUAUAAAUAGAUGUACAUUGUGACAUCAACAGCAAUAAAUGUAGAGUGGGGGAGAAGUAAAAGUGUAAUUUUUGCAUGGGAUUGAACUUGGUUGUUAUCAGUUUAAAAUAGAGUGUUAGAAAAUAUUUAUUUAGGCUGGGCGUGAGUCACCACACCUGGGCCAAAAGAUAUUUUAUGUUGGUCCUGUAGUAAUCACACACACACACACACACACACAAUACCUACAUAGGUUAUAUAAAACAAGAAAGAAAGAAACCCAGUUAUAGCAAUACAAAAUAAUCAAUGAAACACAAAGAGAGUAAGACAGAAAAAGAGGGACAAGAGAAAUACAAGACAGAAAUCAAUUAACAAAACAGCCAUAGUAUUAACAAAUUAUUUCCAAUAAAUAAUAUCUUUAAAUGUAAAUGGAUGAAAGUCCCCAUUCAAAAGGCACAAAGAGGCUAAAUAAAAUUUUUUAAAAGAUCCAUAUAUUUGCCAGUCUGUGUCUUUUAACUGGGGCAUUUGGCCCAUUUAUAUUUAAAGUUAACAUUGUUAUGUGUGAAUUUGAUCCUAUAAUUAUGAUGCUAGCUGGUUAUUUUGCCUGUUAUUUGAUGCAGUUUCUUCGUACCAUCGACGGUCUUUACAAUUUGGUAUGUUUUCACAGUGGCUUGUACCGUUCAUUCCUUUCUUUGUUUAGUGCUUCCUUCAGGAGCUCUUGUAAGGCAUGCCUGGUGGUAACAAAA